Molecule: ribosomal RNA, 786 nt
Filed under: Enterococcus faecium
Lineage: Bacteria; Bacillati; Bacillota; Bacilli; Lactobacillales; Enterococcaceae
Description: bacterial SSU rRNA
Rfam family: Bacterial small subunit ribosomal RNA
Source: RNAcentral
UCAGGACGAACGCUGGCGGCGUGCCUAAUACAUGCAAGUCGAACGCUUCUUUUUCCACCGGAGCUUGCUCCACCGGAAAAAGAGGAGUGGCGAACGGGUGAGUAACACGUGGGUAACCUGCCCAUCAGAAGGGGAUAACACUUGGAAACAGGUGCUAAUACCGUAUAACAAUCRAAACCGCAUGGUUUUGAUUUGAAAGGCGCUUUCGGGUGUCGCUGAUGGAUGGACCCGCGGUGCAUUAGCUAGUUGGUGAGGUAACGGCUCACCAAGGCCACGAUGCAUAGCCGACCUGAGAGGGUGAUCGGCCACAUUGGGACUGAGACACGGCCCAAACUCCUACGGGAGGCAGCAGUAGGGAAUCUUCGGCAAUGGACGAAAGUCUGACCGAGCAACGCCGCGUGAGUGAAGAAGGUUUUCGGAUCGUAAAACUCUGUUGUUAGAGAAGAACAAGGAUGAGAGUAACUGUUCAUCCCUUGACGGUAUCUAACCAGAAAGCCACGGCUAACUACGUGCCAGCAGCCGCGGUAAUACGUAGGUGGCAAGCGUUGUCCGGAUUUAUUGGGCGUAAAGCGAGCGCAGGCGGUUUCUUAAGUCUGAUGUGAAAGCCCCCGGCUCAACCGGGGAGGGUCAUUGGAAACUGGGAGACUUGAGUGCAGAAGAGGAGAGUGGAAUUCCAUGUGUAGCGGUGAAAUGCGUAGAUAUAUGGAGGAACACCAGUGGCGAAGGCGGCUCUCUGGUCUGUAACUGACGCUGAGGCUCGAAAGCGUGGGGAGCAAACAGGAUUAG